RNAcentral lists this ribosomal RNA (535 nucleotides) under Fusarium culmorum. RNAcentral's name for it is "eukaryotic LSU rRNA". The stretch from base 176 to 329 matches the Rfam family "5.8S ribosomal RNA". Lineage: Eukaryota; Fungi; Ascomycota; Sordariomycetes; Hypocreales; Nectriaceae. The record is from RNAcentral.
GUUGGUGAACCAGCGGAGGGAUCAUUACCGAGUUUACAACUCCCAAACCCCUGUGAACAUACCUUAUGUUGCCUCGGCGGAUCAGCCCGCGCCCCGUAAAAAGGGACGGCCCGCCGCAGGAACCUUAAACUCUGUUUUUAGUGGAACUUCUGAGUAUAAAAAACAAAUAAAUCAAAACUUUCAACAACGGAUCUCUUGGUUCUGGCAUCGAUGAAGAACGCAGCAAAAUGCGAUAAGUAAUGUGAAUUGCAGAAUUCAGUGAAUCAUCGAAUCUUUGAACGCACAUUGCGCCCGCCAGUAUUCUGGCGGGCAUGCCUGUUCGAGCGUCAUUUCAACCCUCAAGCCCAGCUUGGUGUUGGGAGCUGCAGUCCUGCUGCACUCCCCAAAUACAUUGGCGGUCACGUCGAGCUUCCAUAGCGUAGUAAUUUACAUAUCGUUACUGGUAAUCGUCGCGGCCACGCCGUUAAACCCCAACUUCUGAAUGUUGACCUCGGAUCAGGUAGGAAUACCCGCUGAACUUAAGCAUAUCAAUAAG